UGGGCAGAAAUGCACCAGGGAAAGGACAUAACGAAACUGGUUUUAUCAGAACAGCCUGCCUGAGAGAGAUCAAGCAGGGCACAGGUCACCAGGUAUGCCCCUGGGCUCCUGCCGCAGCUGAUCGGGUGCUAGGUGCUGAGGAUACACGUCUGGGAGAAAGCAAUUGGAAGAAAUGCAAAGCUCUUCAAAGGAGACCUAUAAAGUCAUCUUUGUUUUGUUCAUUCUUCUCAUGUUUCUGCAUUCUGGGCAUUCUCCUAAAUUGGGGAGAAACCAAAAUGCCCAGAAGUCAAAUUCUGCAACUGUCAUCAUGCAAAAUGUCAAAUGAGAGAACCAAAGUAUGCUGGAUUCUAUAUUGUUAGGAAGGGAUGGUUAAUUUGAUUGACUCUUGGGAGCUAUUUUUCUAGCAUUAAGUAAUUCUAGGGAACCCUUCUGUGAUCAUCUCUGAGUAAAUAAAGAAGUGAAAUUGCAAUUC
RNAcentral lists this long non-coding RNA (472 nucleotides) under Homo sapiens (human). Its description in RNAcentral is "non-protein coding LINC01213:1". The record is from RNAcentral. Lineage: Eukaryota; Metazoa; Chordata; Mammalia; Primates; Hominidae.